Long non-coding RNA from Amphimedon queenslandica, 754 nucleotides. RefSeq lists it as uncharacterized. The record is from RefSeq and is a predicted model, not a curated record. Lineage: Eukaryota; Metazoa; Porifera; Demospongiae; Haplosclerida; Niphatidae. The transcript is spliced from 3 exons.
UUAAAAGCAAAUUAUUAUUAUUUAUCUGCAGAGAGAAGAGUCGAAUCCUUUUCUUUCUUGUACAUUUAGUACACUAACAGGUGCUAAGUUCUGCUAAUAAAAGCAGUCAAUAUAAGUAAAUGGAAUCAAAGCAGCACUCACAAGUGGAAGGAAUGACGUUAUGACUGCAACCAGUUCCAGUUUCUUAAAGUUUUUCAGUUUCUUUAGGUGCACAAUACAAAGAUAGAGAGUAAUGGUUAACCAGAAGGUAAAUCCAACAUUAAUAUAAUAGGCAGUGUGAGGCAGGAAUACAGCCACAGCUCUAUAUAUCCAUGAGUCAUCAUAUCCAAGAAACAGACUCUCUGACAGAGAGAAGACUAACAUUGUAACCAGUUUGUACACUAUCAGUCUUUGUACAAUAUCUUUAUAGAAUCUACUGACUAUUGCAAAGACCAGGGCCACUAUACAUGUUAUGACUCCUAGACCACCAAAGACUCCGAGUUUUACCCAUUACAGACUUUAUGGACCAAAAAGAAAUGAGAAGAGAUAAAAAGAAAGGGCACCUUUGCAGCAGUGAAAAAGCAAUAGCCUACAACAAAACUAUAGUUACAGAAAAACUAAUGCAAGUUCAAGCUGUUAAAAUAACACAUAGUACAAUAUCACCAAAAGAGUUCAUGAUAUCAGUGAACCCUUGAUUACACAAGCCACACAUACAGAUAUUACAGUAUAAAUCAUGUAAUAACACACCAAUGAUGUGUACUAUAGUUAACAUUAU